RNAcentral lists this ribosomal RNA (422 nucleotides) under uncultured bacterium. RNAcentral describes it as "bacterial SSU rRNA". It matches the Rfam family "Bacterial small subunit ribosomal RNA", at positions 356 to 775 of the family's 1533-position model. The record is from RNAcentral.
GAGGAAUAUUGGUCAAUGGGCGCAAGCCUGAACCAGCCAUCCCGCGUGAAGGAAGAAUGCGCUACGCGUUGUAAACUUCUUUUCCAGGGGGAGAAUUUUCCUGUCGGGACAGGGAUUGACGGUACCCUGGGAAUAAGCAUCGGCUAACUCCGUGCCAGCAGCCGCGGUAAUACGGAGGAUGCGAGCGUUAUCCGGAUUUACUGGGUUUAAAGGGUGCGUAGGCGGAUUGAUAAGUCAGUGGUGAAAUUCUGCAGCUUAACUCUAGACUUGCCGUUGAUACUGUUAGUCUUGAGUGUGGUCAAGGCAGGCGGAAUGUGUAAUGUAGCGGUGAAAUGCUUAGAUAUUACACAGAACACCGAUUGCGAAGGCAGCUUGCUGGGUCAUUACUGACGCUGAUGCACGAAAGCGUGGGGAUCAAACAG